Small nucleolar RNA from Carcharodon carcharias (great white shark), 119 nucleotides. RefSeq annotates it as small nucleolar RNA SNORA26. The transcript has a single exon. The record is from RefSeq and is a predicted model, not a curated record. NCBI's taxonomy places the organism in Eukaryota, Metazoa, Chordata, Chondrichthyes, Lamniformes, Lamnidae.
UUGCCCAUCCAAGAUGGACAGUGUCUUAGGUGGCCAAUACAGAAGGGUAGAUAAUUUUCUCUCUCAAACCCAAGGCAAAGAAAUAGUCAAUGUUUUGGAUCCUGUCGAGUGGAACAUAU